UACAGAGGGUGCGAGCGUUGUUCGGAAUUACUGGGCGUAAAGCGCUCGCAGGUGGUCCGUCGCGUCGUGCGUGAAAGACCCCGGCUCAACUGGGGAGGGUCGUGCGAUACGGGCGGACUGGAGGCCAGUAGGGGGAUGCGGAAUUCCGGGUGUAGUGGUGGAAUGCGUAGAGAUCCGGAGGAACACCAGCGGCGAAGGCGGCAUCCUGGACUGGUCCUGACACUCAGGAGCGAAAGCGUGGGGAGCGAUCCGG
Molecule: ribosomal RNA, 253 nt
Filed under: uncultured bacterium
Lineage: Bacteria
Description: partial 16S ribosomal RNA
Rfam family: Bacterial small subunit ribosomal RNA
Source: RNAcentral